Molecule: ribosomal RNA, 548 nt
Filed under: uncultured Glomeromycotina
Lineage: Eukaryota; Fungi; Glomeromycota
Description: SSU rRNA
Rfam family: Eukaryotic small subunit ribosomal RNA
Source: RNAcentral
UUGGAGGGCAAGUCUGGCGCCAGCAGCCGCGGUAAUUCCAGCUCCAAUAGCGUAUAUUAAAGUUGUUGCAGUUAAAAAGCUCGUAGUUGAAUUUCGGGAUCAGAGUGUCGGUCGUGCCUCGGUACGCACUGGUAUUAUUGGUUCCUACCUUCUGAAGAACCGCGAUGUCAUUAAUUUGGUGUCGUGGGGAAUCAGGACUGUUACUUUGAAAAAAUUAGAGUGUUUAAAGCAGGCUUACGCUUGAAUACAUUAGCAUGGAAUAAUGAAAUAGGACGUUUGAUUCUAUUUUGUUGGUUUCUAGGAUUGACGUAAUGAUUAAUAGGGAUAGUUGGGGGCAUUAGUAUUCAAUUGUCAGAGGUGAAAUUCUUGGAUUUAUUGAAGACUAACUACUGCGAAAGCAUUUGCCAAGGAUGUUUUCAUUAAUCAAGAACGAAAGUUAGGGGAUCGAAGACGAUCAGAUACCGUCGUAGUCUUAACCAUAAACUAUGCCGACUAGGGAUCGGAUGAUGUUAAUUUUUUAAUGACUCAUUCGGCGCCUUACGGGAAAC